AUCCUCCAAGGCUAAAUACUCCUGACUGACCGAUAGUGAACCAGUACCGUGAGGGAAAGGCGAAAAGAACCCCGGCGAGGGGAGUGAAAAAGAACCUGAAACCGUGUACGUACAAGCAGUGGGAGCCUCUUUUAUGGGGUGACUGCGUACCUUUUGUAUAAUGGGUCAGCGACUUAUAUUCUGUAGCAAGGUUAACCGAAUAGGGGAGCCGGAGGGAAACCGAGUCUUAAUUGGGCGUUAAGUUGCAGGGUAUAGACCCGAAACCCGGUGAUCUAGCCAUGGGCAGGUUGAAGGUUGGGUAACACUAACUGGAGGACCGAACCGACUAAUGUUGAAAAAUUAGCGGAUGACCUGUGGCUGGGGGUGAAAGGCCAAUCAAACCGGGAGAUAGCUGGUUCUCCCCGAAAGCUAUUUAGGUAGCGCCUCGUGAAUUCAUCUCCGGGGGUAGAGCACUGUUUCGGCUAGGGGGCCAUCCCGGCUUACCAACCCGAUGCAAACUGCGAAUACCGGAGAAUGUUAUCACGGGAGACACACGGCGGGUGCUAACGUCCGUCGUGAAGAGGGAAACAACCCAGACCGCCAGCUAAGGUCCCAAAGUCAUGGUUAAGUGGGAAACGAUGUGGGAAGGCCCAGACAGCCAGGAUGUUGGCUUAGAAGCAGCCAUCAUUUAAAGAAAGCGUAAUAGCUCACUGGUCGAGUCGGCCUGCGCGGAAGAUGUAACGGGGCUAAACCAUGCACCGAAGCUGCGGCAGCGA
Molecule: ribosomal RNA, 755 nt
Filed under: Salmonella enterica
Lineage: Bacteria; Pseudomonadati; Pseudomonadota; Gammaproteobacteria; Enterobacterales; Enterobacteriaceae
Also listed under: 2 other names
Description: bacterial LSU rRNA
Rfam family: Bacterial large subunit ribosomal RNA
Source: RNAcentral